Long non-coding RNA from Camelus dromedarius (Arabian camel), 714 nucleotides. RefSeq lists it as uncharacterized. Lineage: Eukaryota; Metazoa; Chordata; Mammalia; Artiodactyla; Camelidae. The record is from RefSeq and is a predicted model, not a curated record. The transcript is spliced from 3 exons.
CCCCUGGAGGGGAGAGGUCGGAGGUCCCCGGAUCUACAGGAGGAGGAAGAAGGAGACUCGAUUCUUUUGCUCGAGCAAGUUCCUGCAUUAAAUGGUUGGAAAUACGUAAAGCCUUUAUGAGUGUCUGCCGCAGAGCAAGGGUAGGUUACCUGUGUCAUUAUCACCGUGUAUCAUUAAAUGCCAGGCUUGAUGAGUUCUGGAAAGAAGACGUGAACUCUGCCCUCAAGAGCCUCACAGUCCAAUGAGGAAAAGAAAUAUGUGAACAACAGUCUUUAGAGCCGUCAGCGCUAUUAAAACGGUGUGUACAAGGCAUUUGGGAAAUUCAGCUGGAGGAGAAGACUGCACUGUGGUGUCGCAUCUCUUUCUUAAUGUCCUACCUCAGAUAUGUAUAGGAAAUGCUGAUGAGAUCCUGGCGGUGAGAAUCCCAGACAGUCAGGAAAGACGUGUUUUUGAACAGGUGACCCUCCAGUGAACUUCGGGUGGCACUACAACAGAAGCCUUCCCCCUCGCAGCAGCCCUGGAAACACUUGCCGGCCAGUGGAGAAGUAAACUGGUGUAGUCCUACGCUGGAAACCACUCACAGCGAAGAGGAACAAACUCCUGAUACAUGAAACAACAUUUGAAGGGUUUGGAAAGCCAUGGCCCUCCGGCUGGCUACCUGCAUUUGUAAAUAAAGUUUUAUUGGAACAGCCACACCCAUUCAUUUAUCUAAUG